CGGGCGACUCCAUGAGCCGCCUUAAGGGACGUGCUGUUCCCACUCGAAAGGGUGGCCGCCAGCAGUCGGAAUGAGUACAAUUUAAACCCCUUAACGAGGAACAAUUGGAGGGCAAGUCUGGUGCCAGCAGCCGCGGUAAUUCCAGCUCCAAUAGCGUAUAUUAAAGUUGUUGCAGUUAAAAAGCUCGUAGUUGAACCUUGGGCCUGGCUGGCCGGUCCGCCUCACCGCGUGUACUGGUCCGGCCGGGCCUUUCCUUCUGGAGAUCCUCAUGCCCUUCACUGGGUGUGUUGGGGAACCAGGACUUUUACUGUGAACAAAUUAGAGUGUUCAAAGCAGGCCUUUGCUCGAAUACAUUAGCAUGGAAUAAUAGAAUAGGACGUGCGGUCCUAUUUUGUUGGUUUCUAGGACCGCCGUAAUGAUUAAUAGGGAUAGUCGGGGGCAUCAGUAUUCAAUUGUCAGAGGUGAAAUUCUUGGAUUUAUUGAAGACUAACUACUGCGAAAGCAUUUGCCAAGGAUGUUUUCAUUAAUCAGUGAACGAAAGUUAGGGGAUCGAAGACGAUCAGAUACCGUCGUAGUCUUAACCGUAAACUAUGCCGACUAGGGAUCGGGCGAUGUUUCUAUCUUGACGCGCUCGGCGCCU
Molecule: ribosomal RNA, 640 nt
Filed under: Nigrograna sp. VVS-2018a
Lineage: Eukaryota; Fungi; Ascomycota; Dothideomycetes; Pleosporales; Nigrogranaceae
Description: SSU rRNA
Rfam family: Eukaryotic small subunit ribosomal RNA
Source: RNAcentral